Acanthosepion pharaonis is the source of this 112-nucleotide non-coding RNA. NCBI's taxonomy places the organism in Eukaryota, Metazoa, Mollusca, Cephalopoda, Sepiida, Sepiidae. The record is from the annotation of a GenBank genome assembly.
UAUGGCCAUAUCACAUUGAAACACCAGUUCUUGUACAAUCACCAAAGUUAAGCAAUAUCAGGCUUGGUUAGUACCUAGAUGGGUGACUGCUUGGGAAUAACAGGUGCUGUAA